This 73-nucleotide transfer RNA is filed under the name Caligus rogercresseyi. RNAcentral's name for it is "tRNA-Met". The record is from RNAcentral. Lineage: Eukaryota; Metazoa; Arthropoda; Copepoda; Siphonostomatoida; Caligidae.
UGCCCCGGGUGAGGCUCGAACUCACGGCCUUCAGAUUAUGAGACUGACGCGCUGCCUACUGCGCUACCGAGGC